UCUGGCCCAGAUGAAGUGUCAGCCACACUAACUAAACUGAAGGCUGGCUUGAACUAUGCUCUGCUGUCUCCUUGCCCUUCUCCUGGGCACUUUCUUGGGUGUCAGAACUCAGACCAUCCAUCAAUGGCCACCUACCAAGAUGCAGCUUGUGGACAGCCCACUUUCCCUGGAGUGCACCGUGAAGGGGACAUCUAACCCCACCCUAUACUGGUACCGGCAAGCUGCAGGGGGUGCCCUCCAGCUACUCUUCUACUCCUUUGGCAUUAACCAGAUAGAGCCAAAGGCACUCCAGAACUUCGCAGCCUCCGGGACCCAGGACGACCAGUUUGUCCUGACUUCUAAGAAGCUCCUCCUUAAUGACUCUGGCUUCUACCUCUGUGCCUGGAGUCUCACACUGGUCUGGAUGGGACAGAAAAUGUCCAUCCCACAGACCUCACUGGCCUUAGCAGCAGGCGAUGACACUUAG
Molecule: non-coding RNA, 466 nt
Organism: Ceratotherium simum simum (southern white rhinoceros)
Lineage: Eukaryota; Metazoa; Chordata; Mammalia; Perissodactyla; Rhinocerotidae
Source: the annotation of a RefSeq genome assembly